UACGUAGGGGGCUAGCGUUGUCCGUAAUCAUUGGGCGUAAAGCGCGUGUAGGCGGUCCGGUAAGUCCGCUGUGAAAGUCGGGGGCUCAACCCUCGGAUGCCGGUGGAUACUGUCGGGCUUGAGUACGGAAGAGGCGAGUGGAAUUCCUGGUGUAGCGGUGAAAUGCGCAGAUAUCAGGAGGAACACCAAUUGCGAAGGCAGCUCGCUGGGACGUUACUGACGCUGAGACGCGAAAGCGUGGGGAGCAAACAGG
RNAcentral lists this ribosomal RNA (253 nucleotides) under uncultured bacterium. RNAcentral describes it as "partial 16S ribosomal RNA". It matches the Rfam family "Bacterial small subunit ribosomal RNA", at positions 524 to 776 of the family's 1533-position model. The record is from RNAcentral.